GAAGGAUCAUUACCGAGUGCGGGAACCCAGUCGGGUCCCAAUCUCCCACCCGUGUCUACCACACCUAGUGUUGCUUUGGCGGGCCCACUCCUCCGGUGUUCCGCCGGGGGGGUCGUCCCGGGGCGCGGUGUGCCCCCGGGGCCCGUGCCCGCCAGAGGCACUCACUGUGAACGCUUUUGUGAAUGCGAGGAUUGUCUGAGUGACGAAAUGCAAUCGUUCAAAACUUUCAACAAUGGAUCUCUUGGUUCCGGCAUCGAUGAAGAACGCAGCGAAAUGCGAUAAGUAAUGUGAAUCGCAGAAUUCCGUGAAUCAUCGAAUCUUUGAACGCACAUUGCGCCCUCUGGUAUUCCGGGGGGCAUGCCUGUCCGAGCGUCAUUGCGAACCCUCAAGCACGGCUUGUGUGUUGGGCCGCCGUCCCCUCGUUUGGAGGGGACGGGCCUGAAAGGCAGCGGCGGCGUCGCGUCCGGUCCUCGAGCGUAUGGGGCUCUGUCACGCGCUCAAGGAGGGGUCCGGCCGGGGCCAUAGCCUCUGAAGGUCAAUUCUUCCAAGGUUGACCUCGGAUCAGGUAGGAGUACCCGCUGAACUUA
Molecule: ribosomal RNA, 587 nt
Filed under: Thermomyces lanuginosus
Lineage: Eukaryota; Fungi; Ascomycota; Eurotiomycetes; Eurotiales; Trichocomaceae
Description: eukaryotic LSU rRNA
Rfam family: 5.8S ribosomal RNA (bases 222-375)
Source: RNAcentral